This 643-nucleotide long non-coding RNA is filed under the name Olea europaea subsp. europaea. Lineage: Eukaryota; Viridiplantae; Streptophyta; Magnoliopsida; Lamiales; Oleaceae. The record is from RNAcentral.
AGACAAUAGAAGUAGCAGCAAAACCCCGUGGAAGAUGACCACCAUCAAAGAAGUCCAAUACCGCCCUGUAAACAUCCUCCUGAAUAAUAUCCCAACAAUUCUGGAAGAAUAGGGAUGAGAAGCCAUCCGGGCCAGCGACACUGUCAGCAUCAAUACUGAAAACUGCCUCCCGUACCUCAUGAAUCAAAGGGGGGCGAUUUAGUGCCAGAUUAUCGUCCACCGUCAACAGCCUCGGAAUGACAUCAGAACGGAUGUGGUCCAAGGGUUGUGGAGGAGCAGAUAAGAGAUCCUGGUAGAAAGCAACAGCCGAGGUCUGAAUAUCAGUAGGAGUAGAUAACACUUCCCCCGCCUGUGUCCUGAUAGACCUGAUACGUGAUUUGAUCCUACGCCCCUGAACCAUCGCAUGAAAAUAUCGAGUAUUGUGAUCACCCUCACAUGCCCAACGUGAACCGGCCUUUUGCUUCCAAAAGCCCUCCUCAAUAGACAAGGUCCGGUUCAAAACUGCCUGGGCCUGAUGUAGAAAGUUACGGUUCUCCGGUGUAGGAUCUCUAUCAUAUAUUAUCUCAGCCUCAUCAACCCCGACCUCAGUAUCGCGCACCCGCUGGAAAAUAUCUCCAAAUACAUGUCGGUUCCACCAGCGCAG